This 2104-nucleotide long non-coding RNA is filed under the name Pongo abelii (Sumatran orangutan). Its description in RNAcentral is "lincRNA". The record is from RNAcentral. Lineage: Eukaryota; Metazoa; Chordata; Mammalia; Primates; Hominidae.
GCUGGGAUUACAGGCAUGAGCCAGCGCACCCAGCCAUGUUAUGGUUUUGAGCAAGAAGAAAGUUUGUGAGAGACAGAACGCAUUCAGCCUUGAGGCUGAAGUCAUUCUCUCGUGUGGCCCCGGGAACGCCAUCAUCCACAGAGAAGACCACUUGGCUGCUAUGAAUGGUACUUACAAAGCUGUAAAAAUGAGAAUGCCGUUGACUUGUUUUCAGCACAGAUAAAACUUAACAAAGAACAGAAAACUUAAUUAUGCUCAUCAAACAGAAUGUUAUGCCAUCCUUGGCGCUGCAAAAGAAAAACCCACAGGAUCGAGGAAGAGAAGGGGAAGAGGGGAGGGGAGAUGGAGGACGGGACGGGGCUCCAGGGGCCUCCACGGUGUGCUGAAGAUUCAGCAGUCUUAGCUGGAUGGAAAAGCAGUAAAUGCUCAAGUCUCUAUUGACAGGUGCGAAUCUAACAAACGUGAAAACUAACAAUCAUGACUGAGAGGAGGUGGGGGAGGGUAAAUGAGGGAAAUUCUCAUUUUUAAUAGUGCAGAAUCAGUAGAUACUAUUGAAGGAUGACAAAUGAAGAGGUGAUGGAAUAAGCAUAUUAACUAAAGUUAUGAUGGUGGAUAUAUUGAUUUGUUUUCUUUUGAGACGGAAUCUCACUCUCUGUUGCACUCGGUGGAGCUCUUAGAUGUGUUGACAGAGUCUAAUCGCACCCCUUUGACCUGCAAAGCUCUGAGGAGGGAGGGUUCCAACAGCCACCUGUGACCAGAGUCCCUGUCUCAGCACCCUGCAGGGUAGGUGACCUUAUGGCCGAUGAGACACAGGGAACAUUGGCUUUUCCCUCCCUGAUGAGCAGGAAGGAGCAGUUUGAGGCCAUGAUGCAAAGAACAAGGUGGCCGUGUUGUGACUGGCAGGGAGGGAGGAGCCACCAGCAGCUGAUGGGACAGAGGAGAAGGAUAAAGGAGAGGUUCUGGUGACAGUACUGGGCACUGUGCAUGGCGGGGGACUGCCUGCCUCCCAAGUUCUUGUUGUGUUGACAGAGAUGACAAAAUGUCAUCAUUGUUUAAGCCGCAGCUCACUGGGUGCUUGGCAGACCACUCCCGCAACGGGCCCAGGAGCCUGGCGGUACCAUGGCUCCUCCUAGCACAGGCGCUCGGCUCAGUCUUCCUCAUGGAAGGGCUCCAGCGGGCCCUGGUCUCACAGGGUGUCCCAGCUGGCUGUCAGGCUUGCUCCUGGGGACACCUCAGGCAAGACAGGAGAGGUGCUCUCUGCCCUCAAGCUUUCACUCGUGCUCUGGUUCUAUCGGCGAAUGUGUUGACACGUGCCACACCAUGCUGUGUGGUGUGGACCCCAUUACCUGUCGUCUUCCUAAGUUGACUGCAAACUUCAUGAGGGGAGGACAGUGGCCUGUGUGACCCAGAUCCUCAGCGGCCAGCCCUAGGAACUGCUCAUCGUCUAGGGGAGGAAACAGACUCUCGUCAGAUCCAAGCCCAGCUCCUAGGGGUGGUGAUGCUGCUAUCUAGGCAGGGCCCUCUCACACACCCCCACCCCCACCCAGCUGCGUGGCUGAGCCACGUGGCUGGUGGCACUUUGGCCCCUCCAACAGGGUCUCCUUUCUUCCAGGGCCCUGACUUCUCGUGGAGACACUGCCUCCCACAUCUCUCCUUGUAAGCAGUUUCCCCAGCCCUUCCUUGCUCCUCUCUCUCCUCUGCUGCAGUGCCUUCUCCUAAUACCGCGGGAAUGCUGAAAGAGGUCUCUGGGGAAGCAGUGCCUUGUCACCUGCAGGCCCAGCAGCCUCAACUCAAACACAUUGGCACGAAGUUGCACUUCAUUUACUCCACUUGAUUUCUGGGAUUCCAAUUCCAGUCCAGGAAGACGUGUAAACAAGGACGUUCAGAUGGUGGUUGCCCUGGAGGGUGGGUGUGGGGACAGGUAUUGAUGGCAGUGGGGCACAGGGACGCCUCCUGGGAGCUGCUGAUGUCUUUCUUCUGUCUUGGUCUGGGUGCAAUUUACAGGGGUGGACUCGGUUUGUCAAAAUUCAUCGAACUGUACUCAUAUGAUGCGUGAACUUUUUGUGCUAUAUGUAAUAUGUCAAUAGAUGGAAAGGUUUCUGUG